AAAUUGAAGAGUUUGAUCAUGGCUCAGAUUGAACGCUGGCGGCAGGCCUAACACAUGCAAGUCGAACGGUAACAGGAAGCAGCUUGCUGCUUUGCUGACGAGUGGCGGACGGGUGAGUAAUGUCUGGGAAACUGCCUGAUGGAGGGGGAUAACUACUGGAAACGGUGGCUAAUACCGCAUAACGUCGCAAGACCAAAGAGGGGGACCUUCGGGCCUCUUGCCAUCAGAUGUGCCCAGAUGGGAUUAGCUUGUUGGUGAGGUAACGGCUCACCAAGGCGACGAUCCCUAGCUGGUCUGAGAGGAUGACCAGCCACACUGGAACUGAGACACGGUCCAGACUCCUACGGGAGGCAGCAGUGGGGAAUAUUGCACAAUGGGCGCAAGCCUGAUGCAGCCAUGCCGCGUGUAUGAAGAAGGCCUUCGGGUUGUAAAGUACUUUCAGCGGGGAGGAAGGUGUUGUGGUUAAUAACCACAGCAAUUGACGUUACCCGCAGAAGAAGCACCGGCUAACUCCGUGCCAGCAGCCGCGGUAAUACGGAGGGUGCAAGCGUUAAUCGGAAUUACUGGGCGUAAAGCGCACGCAGGCGGUCUGUCAAGUCGGAUGUGAAAUCCCCGGGCUCAACCUGGGAACUGCAUUCGAAACUGGCAGGCUUGAGUCUUGUAGAGGGGGGUAGAAUUCCAGGUGUAGCGGUGAAAUGCGUAGAGAUCUGGAGGAAUACCGGUGGCGAAGGCGGCCCCCUGGACAAAGACUGACGCUCAGGUGCGAAAGCGUGGGGAGCAAACAGGAUUAGAUACCCUGGUAGUCCACGCCGUAAACGAUGUCUACUUGGAGGUUGUGCCCUUGAGGCGUGGCUUCCGGAGCUAACGCGUUAAGUAGACCGCCUGGGGAGUACGGCCGCAAGGUUAAAACUCAAAUGAAUUGACGGGGGCCCGCACAAGCGGUGGAGCAUGUGGUUUAAUUCGAUGCAACGCGAAGAACCUUACCUGGUCUUGACAUCCACGGAAGAAUUCAGAGAUGGAUUUGUGCCUUCGGGAACCGUGAGACAGGUGCUGCAUGGCUGUCGUCAGCUCGUGUUGUGAAAUGUUGGGUUAAGUCCCGCAACGAGCGCAACCCUUAUCCUUUGUUGCCAGCGGUCCGGCCGGGAACUCAAAGGAGACUGCCAGUGAUAAACUGGAGGAAGGUGGGGAUGACGUCAAGUCAUCAUGGCCCUUACGACCAGGGCUACACACGUGCUACAAUGGCGCAUACAAAGAGAAGCGACCUCGCGAGAGCAAGCGGACCUCAUAAAGUGCGUCGUAGUCCGGAUUGGAGUCUGCAACUCGACUCCAUGAAGUCGGAAUCGCUAGUAAUCGUGGAUCAGAAUGCCACGGUGAAUACGUUCCCGGGCCUUGUACACACCGCCCGUCACACCAUGGGAGUGGGUUGCAAAAGAAGUAGGUAGCUUAACCUUCGGGAGGGCGCUUACCACUUUGUGAUUCAUGACUGGGGUGAAGUCGUAACAAGGUAACCGUAGGGGAACCUGCGGUUGGAUCACCUCCUUACCUGAAAGAAGC
RNAcentral lists this ribosomal RNA (1554 nucleotides) under Salmonella enterica subsp. enterica serovar Senftenberg. RNAcentral describes it as "bacterial SSU rRNA". It matches the Rfam family "Bacterial small subunit ribosomal RNA". Lineage: Bacteria; Pseudomonadati; Pseudomonadota; Gammaproteobacteria; Enterobacterales; Enterobacteriaceae. The record is from RNAcentral.